This 497-nucleotide ribosomal RNA is filed under the name uncultured bacterium. Its description in RNAcentral is "partial 16S ribosomal RNA". It matches the Rfam family "Bacterial small subunit ribosomal RNA", at positions 28 to 507 of the family's 1533-position model. The record is from RNAcentral.
GAUGAACGCUGGCGGCGUGCCUAAUACAUGCAAGUCGAGCGAACGGACGAGAAGCUUGCUCCUCUGAUGUUAGCGGCGGACGGGUGAGUAACACGUGGAUAACCUACCUAUAAGACUGGGAUAACUUCGGGAAACCGGAGCUAAUACCGGAUGAUAUUUUGAACCGCAUGGUUCAAAAGUGAAAGACGGUCUUGCUGUCACUUAUAGAUGGAUCCGCGCUGCAUUAGCUAGUUGGUAAGGUAACGGCUUACCAAGGAAACGAUGCAUAGCCGACCUGAGAGGGUUAUUGGCCACCCCGGAACUUGGACACGGUUCAGACUCCUACGGGGAGCAGCAGUAGGGAAUCUUCCGCAAUGGGCGAAAGCCUUACGGAGCAACGCCGGGUGAGUGAUGAAGGUCUUCGGAUCGUAAAACUCUGUUAUUAGGGAAGAACAAAUGUGUAAGUAACUGUGCACAUCUUGACGGUACCUAAUCAGAAAGCCACGGCUAACUACGUU